UACGUAGGGGGCAAGCGUUAUCCAGAUUUACUGGGUGUAAAGGGAGCGUAGACGGCAGAGCAAGUCUGAAGUGAAAGCCCGCGGCCCAACUGCGGGACUGCUUUGGAAACUGCCCGGCUAGAGUGCUGGAGAGGUAAGCGGAAUUCCUAGUGUAGCGGUGAAAUGCGCAGAUAUUAGGAGGAACACCAGUGGCGAAGGCGGCUUACUGGACAGUAACUGACGUUGAGGCUCGAAAGCGUGGGGAGCAAACAGG
RNAcentral lists this ribosomal RNA (253 nucleotides) under uncultured bacterium. RNAcentral describes it as "partial 16S ribosomal RNA". It matches the Rfam family "Bacterial small subunit ribosomal RNA", at positions 524 to 776 of the family's 1533-position model. The record is from RNAcentral.